This 253-nucleotide ribosomal RNA is filed under the name uncultured bacterium. Its description in RNAcentral is "partial 16S ribosomal RNA". It matches the Rfam family "Bacterial small subunit ribosomal RNA", at positions 524 to 776 of the family's 1533-position model. The record is from RNAcentral.
UACGUAGGGUGCAAGCGUUGUCCGGAAUCAUUGGGCGUAAAGAGCGUGUAGGCGGCUCGAUUAGUCCGCUGUAAAAGUCCAGGGCUCAACCCUGGGAUGCCGGUGGAAACUGUCGGGCUAGAGUCCGGGAGAGGCGAGUGGAAUUCCCAGUGUAGCGGUGAAAUGCGUAGAUAUUGGGAGGAACACCAGUGGCGAAGGCGGCUCACUGGACCGGAACUGACGCUGAGGCGCGAAAGCGUGGGGAGCAAACGGG